RNAcentral lists this long non-coding RNA (901 nucleotides) under Equus caballus (horse). RNAcentral's name for it is "lncRNA (ENSECAG00000060326.1)". Lineage: Eukaryota; Metazoa; Chordata; Mammalia; Perissodactyla; Equidae. The record is from RNAcentral.
CUCCUGGCCCUGCCACCUCCUGGCUAGGCAGCCUCAGGCGAGUCACUCAACAGCCUCAGCAAGCUGUUAAAGGGAUCUGAAAAACAAGCCUUAAAGAUGACAGCCACCUGCCAGCGUUCUUGGGAAGAGCAAAUGAGGAGCCGCGGGGUCUGCCUCACCCACGGCCUCUCCUCCCGGCUGGACCCCACCGUCCGUGCCUGUUACCCGUGGGGAGUCUCAACAGGAAGGCAGAAGCCUGCUGUAAAGAAUUCGGGGACUCCAUGUCGGGUCAGCAGCUGCGAAGAGUCCCGGGCCACAGGAAGCCUCUGGGACCCCAGCCUCCACCCGCCCUUUCCUGAGCCCUAAGAGAAACAGAGCCCUGGAUAAUGUGCCCAAUUACAAACAGCAUUUCCCGGCUUCCCUUGUGGCUGACUACGCCACAGGACUGCGUUCUCACCAACGUACGUGGAAGGGUGGCAGGGCACUUCCAAGGAGUCUUCUUAAAGAGACCUGACUCAACGGGAGAUGAUGAUGACGAUGGUGGUGAUGAUGAUGAUGAUGCAGCCAGAAGACGGCCGUCUAUGGACCAGGAAGUGGUCCUCCCCAGACACCGAAUCUGCCAGCAUCUUGAUCUUGGACUUCCAGCCUCCAGAACCGUGAGAAAUAAACGUCAAGUCACUCAGUCUGUGGUAUUUCAUAUGGAGCCUGAACGAACUAAGACGCAUUGUAUAUAUAUACUACAUGUAUAUAAAAUAACCCAUACAAAUAUGUAACUACUGAAUCAUAUGGAAUUUUUAGUCUAUUCAGCUUUUUUUGUGUAUUAGUUUAUGAAGGCUUGUUCAUGUCCUUAAAUAUUCUUUGGAAACUUGAUUUUAAUGGCUAUAUAAUAUUCGUACAUGUGAAUAUACCAGACCUUGUUUCG